RNAcentral lists this ribosomal RNA (404 nucleotides) under uncultured bacterium. RNAcentral's name for it is "bacterial SSU rRNA". It matches the Rfam family "Bacterial small subunit ribosomal RNA", at positions 362 to 758 of the family's 1533-position model. The record is from RNAcentral.
UAUUGCACAAUGGGCGCAAGCCUGAUGCAGCCAUGCCGCGUGUGUGAAGAAGGCCUUCGGGUUGUAAAGCACUUUCAGUCAGGAGGAAAGGUUAGUAGUUAAUACCUGCUAGCCGUGACGUUACUGACAGAAGAAGCACCGGCUAACUCCGUGCCAGCAGCCGCGGUAAUACGGAGGGUGCGAGCGUUAAUCGGAAUUACUGGGCGUAAAGCGUACGCAGGCGGUUUGUUAAGCGAGAUGUGAAAGCCCCGGGCUCAACCUGGGAACUGCAUCUCGAACUGGCAAACUAGAGUGUGAUAGAGGGUGGUAGAAUUUCAGGUGUAGUGGUGAAAUGCGUAGAGAUCUGAAGGAAUACCGAUGGCGAAGGCAGCCACCUAGAUCCAACACUGACGCCCAUUACGAAA